This 253-nucleotide ribosomal RNA is filed under the name uncultured bacterium. RNAcentral describes it as "partial 16S ribosomal RNA". It matches the Rfam family "Bacterial small subunit ribosomal RNA", at positions 524 to 776 of the family's 1533-position model. The record is from RNAcentral.
UACGAAGGGGGCUAGCGUUGCUCGGAAUCACUGGGCGUAAAGGGUGCGUAGGCGGGUCUUUAAGUCAGGGGUGAAAACCUGGAGCUCAACUCCAGAACUGCCUUUGAUACUGAGGAUCUUGAGUCCGGGAGAGGUGAGUGGAACUGCGAGUGUAGAGGUGAAAUUCGUAGAUAUUCGCAAGAACACCAGUGGCGAAGGCGGCUCACUGGCCCGGUACUGACGCUGAGGCACGAAAGCGUGGGGAGCAAACAGG